AUUUACAGCAUACCAGUCUGAAAGUGCCUGAUUUCGUCACAUCUCAGAAGCAAUCCAGACUCGGGCCUGGUUAGGAUUUGUAUGGGAGACCAACUAGGAUCCUCAGGUGCCGUAAGCU
This 118-nucleotide ribosomal RNA is filed under the name Pelobates cultripes (western spadefoot toad). The record is from RNAcentral. Lineage: Eukaryota; Metazoa; Chordata; Amphibia; Anura; Pelobatidae.